ACUCCAUAUCAUCACAGUCUACAAGUUCUUCUUGAACGGCCAUGAUGGAUUCCAUGGUUUUUAUCAGGUCUUCUCGUCCAGGGAUGUCAGCUAGUCCCAUCAGACUGUUUAGGGAGUUGAAGAAAGUGUUUGAGAGAUGGUUGUGAGAUCUGGCAUGGAUGCUGCUCAGUGCUUCGUUGAUUAAGGAGUUGGUGAUUUGGAUCAGAGACAGAUUCAUAGCUGCGAGUGAGAGCUGCCCCUGUUCUGUUUUUGUGGCAGCUUGCAGCUGGGGGAUUACUUCUGGUCGUUUAAGUGGCUGGAUGUUUUCUGGAAGAUGUCCAGGACAUGCACUGGUUCCCUGAAUGCACGCUCGGGCCAUGUCUCAUCAAUAAUCUUUGACAGCUCUCUGCCAAUGUAAGACAAUUGUUGUUGACUACUGUCAAUUUCUGGAGUUCUGAUUUCUGCCCUCUCCACACAGGCGUUGAUGACUGUGAGCAAGCUGCUUGGACCACGCCAUUAGAUAAUUCAGAACAUUCAAGGCCUCGGUGGGAGUGUAGUCGCUGUCUGAAACCACUCCAAUCUCUAGUACCUGUUGGAGGACAUUCUUGAGCUGAUGGAGAGCCCUGGUCAGGCGAUAUGAUUCUCCAGUAUCAGUGUCUACUAAUGCGGGGAAUGAUGGCACAUGGCCAGGCAGAGUCAGGGAAUUUAAAAGCUGGUCCACGGCAGCCAGGUUGGGGAGGGUGACGCUUGGGAGGGACGUCCCAGACCUGUCUGGCUCGGCCUCCCUGUCGCCCUCGCUCUCGUCCUCCAUAUCAUCGUCCCCAGUAAGAUCGAUGACGUCAUCGUCCAUCGUUAAGUCAAUUAUGUCUGGAGAGGGUAGAGGGUGUGUCAUUUUCUCUGGAGGGGUGCGCCCAGAUUCUUUCCUCUUUUUGUUGGCAUCAGUCCACUCCUCCCCACAGCUCAUAGGAUACCUCUUCCUCUUUGCCUUUGACAUGUAUUUCAAGAGGGAGCCCACUUCUGGGUCAGGCGACGAUGACGCCUGUGGUGACGAACAGAAACUCUGGUUGGUGGUUGGUAGGUCAUAUUCUUCCAAGAUUAUUUUUGAACCAUGUAAAUCAGAAAAGGAGAUGACUUUAUAGUGAGACAUGAUGUAAUUUUUGGGAGAAAUGUGUCCUGGUACAAAAUAUAGGAAGCACGCAGUAUAUUCGCGGGACACGCCCCCGACAUAUUUUAUCAGAGCAUCUGGAUCAGACGUGCUGAGUACGUGGGCUGGACUCUCAGGAAUGUCCUUUAGACAGUGUGGAUCAAACAUGGUGUACCUGCCCCCCUGGAUGAUUAUGGCCCCAGAUUUUUGUCCACAGAUGUACAAAAUAUACUGGAUAGUGUUUGAAUAAUUGGCCGUCAGCAGGUCACGCAGGGACGUGAUGCAGGAGUCAGAAAUGUCAGCUGGCAUGCCAAGCAGGCCAAACAUUUCAGCAGAGGUAUAGAUGAACCCAGACCACUUUCUUGUUUGGACAUAGCAAGGCACGUGGUCCAGCUGGGCAUAUUGGCCAGGAGAUAAGAGGCCCAAUUUUCUCAGAUUGCUGUCUAACUCUGCCCCAAACUUUAAAACUUUAUUAAGGUCGUGGGUCUCGGUUAUGGGGGCUUCAUUGUUGAAGUAGGAAGACAUCAGGUAUAUGAUACAGUUGCUAAGACACUGAGCCCCUGCAUUUUCUCCAAAUUUACAAUCUGCCUGAUUGGUUGAGGCUGUACCUUCGAUGCGAAACCCAGCCAAAGAAGCAGGCAGGGCCAUUAUGAUAGCAGUUUUAUUAUGUCAUGAAUUUUUACAAUAGUGUAGGGGCACUCUGCGUGCUCGGCGGUGUAGGUUUGUUGUGUAAAUAUUUGCCAGUUAACAUCCAGGGGUAUUCUGUCAUAAGUGCUGGAAUAUUUUUUCAGUUGGGGUGGAUGUUUCUCACCACGGGCAGCGUUUUGGCUAAAAAUCUGGGGGUAGGUAGAAUAUAGCAUGGUUAGGUCUUCAUCUGUGGGGUUUCCCCCAGCCUGGGUCAUUGACGUGUCUGUGGGUGGAGCCAUCAGAUUUACUGGAAUUUCUUUAAGAUUUUUGAUAAUUUCCACAUUUCCAGCCGAUGCCGCCUUUAAGAUUGUGGGGGUAAUGAUUUCCUGGGAAAACAGGUCAUGAAACCUUUUUCUUAAGCAACUUGAACAUCCUUUCGAGAGAAGGGAUAGUCCAGAGCUAAUUCUGGAGAGUAUGCCACUGAAGGACUGUUUGAGUUGGUUCCAAGGUUCGGUGUCAAAUUCUAUCCCCAACUCAUGCUGUUUAUAUGCCUCUAGGUCUUGAAGAAGUGAGAGCACCGUGCUGUAUUCCCCCCUGAGUUCACCCUCCAGAUCUGUUAUCUCCAUCAGGAGCUGACUGUGAUCCUUUUCCACCUGGCUAAUCAGACUCUUGAGGGUCUCCAAGUGAACUUCCAGAAUCUGUCCACUGGAGGACAGUAUGAUCCAGGGCAUGGUCCAAGAGAUUCUUCAUGGCAGAAGGUUUAUUGGUCCCGUUGAUGAUGUCGAGCAGCUCAAAGUAGAACAUGCCCAGCGGUCUGCGGAUCUCCUGCAGCUGGGGCGUGUCGGUGAUAGCGAAGCUCAGCAGCCAUCUUAUUUGGAAGAGGGCCCGGUUUCUUGACGUCUUUCUGGAAAAUAUCCCCUGUAUGGUGGGACCAACGAUGUGUCUGAUGAAGUACUUGUAAAACAUUUUAUGGGAGACCAUGGCAGGCUCGUAGGAUAAGUCCCCGACAGGCAUUCUUUUACAGUAGGCCGCGACCCUCUCUUCGGAAACCUGGUGCUCGCAAGAGGGUUCCAUCAGUGGAUUCUGGGUGAUGAGGACAAUGCCCCAAUUCCUGUUUACCCAUGAAAAAAAUAAAGUUCUCAUGAUAUCUGA
RNAcentral lists this long non-coding RNA (2902 nucleotides) under synthetic construct. RNAcentral describes it as "ncORF64-AS12". The record is from RNAcentral.